Molecule: ribosomal RNA, 253 nt
Filed under: uncultured bacterium
Lineage: Bacteria
Description: partial 16S ribosomal RNA
Rfam family: Bacterial small subunit ribosomal RNA
Source: RNAcentral
UACGUAGGGUGCGAGCGUUAAUCGGAAUUACUGGGCGUAAAGCGUGCGCAGGCGGUCUGUUAAGACAGAUGUGAAAUCCCCGGGCUUAACCUGGGAACUGCAUUUGUGACUGGCAGGCUAGAGUAUGGCAGAGGGGGGUAGAAUUCCACGUGUAGCAGUGAAAUGCGUAGAGAUGUGGAGGAAUACCGAUGGCGAAGGCAGCCCCCUGGGCCAAUACUGACGCUCAUGCACGAAAGCGUGGGUAGCAAACAGG